UGCCAGCCGCCGCGGUAAUACGGAGGGGGCGAGCGUUGUUCGGAAUUACUGGGCGUAAAGCGCAAGUAGGCGGGUUAGUAAGUCAAUUGUGAAAGCCCAGGGCUCAACCUUGGAAUUGCAGUUGAAACUACUAGUCUUGAAUACCUAAGGGGAUGGCGGAAUUCCUGGUGUAGUAGUGAAAUACGUAGAUAUCAGGAAGAACACCCGAGGCGAAGGCGGCCAUCUGGUGGUGUAUUGACGCUGAGGUGCGAAAGUGUGGGGAGCAAACAGGAUUAGAUA
Molecule: ribosomal RNA, 279 nt
Filed under: uncultured bacterium
Lineage: Bacteria
Description: partial 16S ribosomal RNA
Rfam family: Bacterial small subunit ribosomal RNA
Source: RNAcentral